AGUCGUCGUAACGUUUCAGAGACC
This 24-nucleotide non-coding RNA is filed under the name Arabidopsis thaliana (thale cress). The record is from RNAcentral. Lineage: Eukaryota; Viridiplantae; Streptophyta; Magnoliopsida; Brassicales; Brassicaceae.